AGUGAACGCUGGCGGUAGGCCUAACACAUGCAAGUCGAACGGCAGCACAGUAAGAGCUUGCUCUUACGGGUGGCGAGUGGCGGACGGGUGAGGAAUACAUCGGAAUCUACUUUUUCGUGGGGGAUAACGUAGGGACACUUACGCUAAUACCGCAUACGACCUACGGGUGAAGGCAGGGGAUCUUCGGACCUUGCGCGAUAGAAUGAGCCGAUGCCGGAUUAGCUAGUUGGCGGGGUAAAGGCCCACCAAGGCGACGAUCCGUAGCUGGUCUGAGAGGAUGAUCAGCCACACUGGAACUGAGACACGGUCCAGACUCCUACGGGAGGCAGCAGUGGGGAAUAUUGCGCAAUGGGCGAAAGCCUGACCCAGCAAUGCCGCGUGAGUGAAGAAGGCCUUCGGAUUGUAAAGCCCUUUUGUUAGGGAAGAAAAGCAGCAGGUGAAUACCCCGCUGUUCUGACGGUACCCAAAGAAUAAGCACCGGCUAACUUCGUG
Molecule: ribosomal RNA, 492 nt
Filed under: uncultured bacterium
Lineage: Bacteria
Description: partial 16S ribosomal RNA
Rfam family: Bacterial small subunit ribosomal RNA
Source: RNAcentral